Molecule: ribosomal RNA, 925 nt
Filed under: uncultured bacterium
Lineage: Bacteria
Also listed under: 1 other name
Description: bacterial SSU rRNA
Rfam family: Bacterial small subunit ribosomal RNA
Source: RNAcentral
UGGAUCCAGACUUUGAUUAUGGCUCAGGAUGAACGCUAGCUACAGGCUUAACACAUGCAAGUCGAGGGGAAACGAUAUUGGAAGCUUGCUUCCGAUAGGCGUCGACCGGCGCACGGGUGAGUAACGCGUAUCCAACCUGCCCACCACUUGGGGAUAACCUUGCGAAAGUAAGACUAAUACCCAAUGAUAUCUCUAGAAGACAUCUGAAAGAGAUUAAAGAUUUAUCGAUGAUGGAUGGGGAUGCGUCUGAUUAGCUUGUUGGCGGGGUAACGGCCCACCAAGGCAACGAUCAGUAGGGGUUCUGAGAGGAAGGUCCCCCACAUUGGAACUGAGACACGGUCCAAACUCCUACGGGAGGCAGCAGUGAGGAAUAUUGGUCAAUGGACGAGAGUCUGAACCAGCCAAGUAGCGUGCAGGAAGACGGCCCUAUGGGUUGUAAACUGCUUUUAUAAGGGAAUAAAGUUAGUCUCGUGAGACUUUUUGCAUGUACCUUAUGAAUAAGGACCGGCUAAUUCCGUGCCAGCAGCCGCGGUAAUACGGAAGGUCCGGGCGUUAUCCGGAUUUAUUGGGUUUAAAGGGAGCGUAGGCCGGAGAUUAAGCGUGUUGUGAAAUGUAGACGCUCAACGUCUGCACUGCAGCGCGAACUGGUUUCCUUGAGUACGCACAAAGUGGGCGGAAUUCGUGGUGUAGCGGUGAAAUGCUUAGAUAUCACGAAGAACUCCGAUUGCGAAGGCAGCUCACUGGAGCGCAACUGACGCUGAAGCUCGAAAGUGCGGGUAUCGAACAGGAUUAGAUACCCUGGUAGUCCGCACGGUAAACGAUGGAUGCCCGCUGUUGGUCUGAAUAGGUCAGCGGCCAAGCGAAAGCAUUAAGCAUCCCACCUGGGGAGUACGCCGGCAACGGUGCAACUCAAAUGAAUUGACGA